Molecule: ribosomal RNA, 387 nt
Filed under: uncultured bacterium
Lineage: Bacteria
Description: bacterial SSU rRNA
Rfam family: Bacterial small subunit ribosomal RNA
Source: RNAcentral
GACGAACGCUGGCGGCGCGCUUAACACAUGCAAGUCGAGCGGUAAGGCCCUUUCGGGGGUACACGAGCGGCGAACGGGUGAGUAACACGUGGGUGACCUGCCCUCAGCUCUGGGAUAAGCCUGGGAAACCGGGUCUAAUACUGGAUAUGACUCCAUGACGCAUGUUGUGGGGUGGAAAGCCUUGUGCGGCUGAGGAUGGGCCCGCGGCCUAUCAGCUUGUUGGUGGGGUGAGGCCUACCAAGGCGACGACGGGUAGCCGGCCUGAGAGGGCGACCGGCCACACUGGGACUGAGACACGGCCCAGACUCCUACGGGAGGCAGCAGUGGGGAAUCUUGCGCAAUGGGCGAAAGCCUGACGCAGCGACGCCGCGUGAGGGAUGACGGCCU